CCCCUCUCUCUGCAGCAGAGAGAGCUAUUCUUUCUUUCGCCUGUUAAUCUUCCACUCUUAACCUCACUUCGUGUGCCUGCGUCUUUGAUUUCCUUGGCGUGAGGCAAUAAACCUCAGUUCUUCUGUUAUAUAAACGAAAGAUUUCAACAGAAACUUAUGAAAGAAGACAGACCAAAAAACAUCCCUUAUUUGGAAGUUAAUGUGUGAUGCCAGUUCUGAGCGACUACAAUGGCUUUUAAAAUAACUUGCAUAAGCCCAGAAGUCUAUGUAACAACUUUAUGAAAUGAUCCGGGUUUUACCUCUUCUCCAUUCGGUCCAACCCAGCCUCUACGAAUCAGCCCACCAUAGUCUAGGUACCAGCCUCAGUUCUACUUACACUGUUGCUGAGACAGAGCCUAAGAGGGAACUCAGUUGGCAAUGGUUGCCAAGCCAACUCCAGCAGCUACUCGGGCAAGAAUUAAGAGUGAAGUCUAAGCCCAUGAAACCCAGGUGGGCAAAAGGUCAGGUGCAAUCCUACAUGAUAGAAGAAGAGAGCUAAGUUUGAAGAGUUGGGGGGUAGAUUUCAAUAUGGCCAGAGAUAAGAUCCAAUCCUAGCAACAGUCUACUACAUUUAGAGGGAUGGUGACUGGGGAAAGGGUAAAAAGCAACCAGCAUCCUCAAGGACUACCAUCAGACUUUAUUUAUUAUUACAAACGAAUGCCUCCAGUCAUGAUGGACCAAUGCAGGCAUCAGGUUAUCUGAAAGUGGUGCCAAAGUGUUCUUAUGCUAUUGCCCACAUUCUAUUCUUCUAAGUAGGAUAUAUCCAUAAAUAGCCUCUUCUGAAGAGUUAUAGAACUGUCACAUUGAGAAAAAUACCUGGAGGUCAUAAUAAGAAAGAUAUAAUUGAAUCUUUGUCUUUUGUGAGUAAACAUCCUGAUAUGGUGAACUGGAAAUGAUUAAUGCUUUUCUUCUUUCCUUGCCAAAAGACAGCCAUUUGCUUAAUUGAAUAGAAACAGAAAAGCCUUUUUUCCAUAAAUGGAAUGGAACUCAACUGGCUUUCAUAGGCAGAAAAAAAUGAAGCUCUCAUUAGAUUAUUUAUGGAAGUAAUCCAGCUUUGGAAUAAUAACAAUCUCCUAGUGGUUUUCCAUGGAACUAUGGCAAUAGGUAGUUACAUGCAAAUUCAAAGCUGGUUCAAGUGAAUCCUCUGAAGCAGGACUCCAUAGAGACCACAGAAAUAUGAGGAUGUAACAAAAGAUGAAUAUGUACAAGUAAAAACAAGAUGACAUAAAACAAAGCAAUGGAAAGGUUUUGAUGGGAGAAGUAGAUGCAAAAAGAAGAUUUCCCAUUUAUUUUUUGGUAGAAUAUGGAAACCCUAAGUCUGACUAUUCUGUUAUGAAGCUAGUAGCCUCUGUGCUGUCUUUCAGCCCUGCCUGCUUCCCUUUGCGGUCGUGUUUUGUUUUUACAUCCAUGAGAAUCUAAUUCAAAUAGACUUCUUGCACGCAACCCUUGUUUAUUUAGAUUAUUUUAAAAUCUGUGUCAAAGGAAUGAGUAAUUGAAUUAAUGUGUAACGUGAAUACUAUUCACCCUUUUUCCACCUUCUGCCUUCUGUCAGCUUAAUGUCCUCCCAUUCAUUUUUUGCUUUCCAGAAGUUGAGGGAAAUACCAAUCGUAUGUGGGGAAUUCUAUUUUGGUACAUAAUAAGGGAAUUUUCUUGAUUGUUCAUGUUCUGUGCACUGUAGGUUUUUUGGUGCUUUUUGUAUCUUCCAUAAUCAUUGAAAACUCCCCCAAAAAGCAUAGGUUAUUUUACUGUUACAUUUAUUAAUAAAAUCCAACAAACUUUUCUUUAUAAAUCCAUUUUUUUUCUAUCUUGUGUGAGUUUGGAAGCCACAAUAAUGUCAAUAUUGUCUUAACAUUAAAUCUUAGUCAAAGAGGACCAUGGCUCAUUUUUUAUGUAUGCAUAUUUGAUAUGGCUUUGUUGUUUUGGUAAACAAUUCAAACAGUACAGAAAAAUACAAAAGGAACAUAAUUGUCACCUGAAGUUCAGCACUCAGAUGUUUCCAAUGUUAGCAUUUCUCUGAACAUAUGCCCCAAUGUAUCUUCGUGCCUACAGACACAUAUGAAAAUGAA
Molecule: long non-coding RNA, 2105 nt
Organism: Pan troglodytes (chimpanzee)
Lineage: Eukaryota; Metazoa; Chordata; Mammalia; Primates; Hominidae
Exons: 3
Source: RefSeq, a predicted model, not a curated record